RNAcentral lists this ribosomal RNA (460 nucleotides) under uncultured bacterium. RNAcentral's name for it is "partial 16S ribosomal RNA". It matches the Rfam family "Bacterial small subunit ribosomal RNA", at positions 338 to 795 of the family's 1533-position model. The record is from RNAcentral.
CCUACGGGUGGCAGCAGUGAGGAUUAUUGGUCAAUGGACGUGAGUCUGAACCAGCCAAGUAGCGUGAAGGAUGACGGCCCUAUGGAUUGUAAACUUCUUUUAUAAGGGAAUAAAACGCGGGACGUGUGCCUUUUUGUAUGUACCUUAUGAAUAAGGAUCGGCUAACUCCGUGCCAGCAGCCGCGGUAAUACGGAGGGUCCGAGCGUUAUCCGGAUUUAUUGGGUUUAAGGGGAGCGUAGGUGGCAUGUUAAGUCAGUUGUGAAAGUUUGCGGCUCAACCGUAUAAUUGCAGUUGAUACUGGCAGUCUUGAGUACAGUUGAGGCAGGCGGAAUUCGUGGUGUAGCGGUGAAAUGCUUAGAUAUCACGCAGAACCCCGAUUGCGAAGGCAGCUUACUAAGCUGUGACUGACAUUGAUGCUCGAAAGUGUGGGUAUCAAACAGGAUUAGAUACCCGUGUAGUC